GCCCAGCCGUAAACAAUUUACUUACAUAUUCUAACGCCCGGGCAUUACGAGCAAUGCUUAAAACCCAAAGGACUUGACGGUGUCCCACCCGCCUAGAGGAGCCUGUUCUAUAAUCGAUAACCCCCGCUUCACCUAACCAUUCUUUGUCCAUCAGUCUGUAUACCUCCGUCGGAAGCUUACCAUAUGAACGCUCACAGUAAGCUCAAUGGCCUCUCGCCAGCACGUCAGGUCAAGGUGCAACUUAUAGAAUGGGAAGAAAUGGGCUACAAUUUCUAAAGUAGAAUAAACGAAAGACUGCUUGAAACCACAGUCAUGAAGGAGGAUCUAGUAGUAAAAAGGGAAUAGAGAGCCCCUUUUAACCCGGCACUGGGACGCGUACACACCGCCCGUCACCCUCUUCAACAGUUACUUUUCUCGAUUAUUAACAAAUUAUCCACGUCUU
RNAcentral lists this ribosomal RNA (442 nucleotides) under Meristogenys stenocephalus. RNAcentral describes it as "partial 12S rRNA". It matches the Rfam family "Bacterial small subunit ribosomal RNA", at positions 794 to 1449 of the family's 1533-position model. Lineage: Eukaryota; Metazoa; Chordata; Amphibia; Anura; Ranidae. The record is from RNAcentral.